GACGAACGCUGGCGGCGUGCUUAACACAUGCAAGUCGAGCGGUAAGGCCCUUUCGGGGGUACACGAGCGGCGAACGGGUGAGUAACACGUGGGUGACCUGCCCUUAGCUCUGGGAUAAGCCUGGGAAACUGGGUCUAAUACCGGAUAUGACUCCAUAACGCAUGUUGUGGGGUGGAAAGCCUUGUGCGGCUAGGGAUGGGCCCGCGGCCUAUCAGCUUGUUGGUGGGGUGAUGGCCUACCAAGGCGACGACGGGUAGCCGGCCUGAGAGGGCGACCGGCCACACUGGGACUGAGGACACGGCCCAGACUCCUACGGGAGGCAGCAGUGGGGAAUCUUGCGCAAUGGGCGAAAGCCUGACGCAGCGACGCCGCGU
This 374-nucleotide ribosomal RNA is filed under the name uncultured bacterium. RNAcentral's name for it is "bacterial SSU rRNA". It matches the Rfam family "Bacterial small subunit ribosomal RNA", at positions 28 to 402 of the family's 1533-position model. The record is from RNAcentral.